RNAcentral lists this non-coding RNA (655 nucleotides) under Pongo abelii (Sumatran orangutan). The record is from RNAcentral. Lineage: Eukaryota; Metazoa; Chordata; Mammalia; Primates; Hominidae.
AGAUGCGCCGCCGCGCGCCCCCCGCUCCGGGCCCCACCGUGCUCUGCCGCGCGCCGGGGGCUCCUCUCCCGGGCCCCCCUGGGCGCCCUCCGGCUCUGGUUCCCGCCCGCUCCUUGGAAUAACCCCUGAGGCUCCAGCCGUCACCGCAAAGUUUCCCGAGGAGACCCGCCUCCCCGGCCGCUGCGCAGGUGAGGAAGCAGGCAGUGGGCGAGAAGACGGAUUCCUUUUUGGACAGACAAGACCAGGGAGUGAAGCGGGAAGAACCCAUCCUCCCUACCUCCCCAGCAAGGAAACCUCUACAAACAGGAGCAGCUAAGCAGAACUGAGGCCCUUGCCCCCCAAGCAUCUUCCCAAAGAAGGGCAUGUGGGGGCCUGACAGCUCAGCUGCAUGUGUCAGCAGCUCCAGCCCCACCAUGAACAUCUGAACUCCUCAGCAGGGUAAUGGACCCCCUCCUUCCCCCCGGAGACACAGCCUGAGUGGCAGGAAUACAGAGCCUUUGGAGAGUGGCUCCCUCUCAGCUCCGUCACGCAAGAACGCUCUCUGCACCCAGCCCAUUCUGCCAAGUGACUUAAAGGGAUUAAAAAAAAAAAAAAAAAAAAGCCUUGGUAAACAAAAAGGGGGUAAAAGCCACGCAGAGGUCUUUCAGAAGAGGUG